Potamilus streckersoni is the source of this 73-nucleotide non-coding RNA. The record is from the annotation of a GenBank genome assembly. NCBI's taxonomy places the organism in Eukaryota, Metazoa, Mollusca, Bivalvia, Unionida, Unionidae.
GCUCCGUUGGCCUAGUAUUUAGAGCAUCCGCCUCGGAUGCGGAGGGUCGUGGGUUCGAUCCUCAGUGGAAUCA